RNAcentral lists this ribosomal RNA (303 nucleotides) under uncultured bacterium. RNAcentral describes it as "partial 16S ribosomal RNA". It matches the Rfam family "Bacterial small subunit ribosomal RNA", at positions 507 to 807 of the family's 1533-position model. The record is from RNAcentral.
AGCAGUCGCCGCGGGAAUACGUAGGGCGCAAGCGUUGUCCGGAAUUAUUGGGCGUAAAGAGCUCGUAGGCGGUCUGUCGCGUCUGGUGUGAAAUCCCGAGGCUCAACCUCGGGCUUGCAUCGGGUACGGGCAGACUAGAGUGCGGUAGGGGAGACUGGAAUUCCUGGUGUAGCGGUGGAAUGCGCAGAUAUCAGGAGGAACACCGAUGGCGAAGGCAGGUCUCUGGGCCGCAACUGACGCUGAGGAGCGAAAGCAUGGGGAGCGAACAGGAUUAGAUACCCCAGUAGUCCCUGUCUCUUAUAC